AGUGAACGCUGGCGGUAGGCCUAACACAUGCAAGUCGAACGGCAGCACAGUAAGAGCUUGCUCUUACGGGUGGCGAGUGGCGGACGGGUGAGGAAUACAUCGGAAUCUACUUUUUCGUGGGGGAUAACGUAGGGAAACUUACGCUAAUACCGCAUACGACCUACGGGUGAAGGCAGGGGAUCUUCGGACCUUGCGCGAUUGAAUGAGCUGAUGUCGGAUUAGCUAGUUGGCGGGGUAAAGGCCCACCAAGGCGACGAUCCGUAGCUGGUCUGAGAGGAUGAUCAGCCACACUGGAACUGAGACACGGUCCAGACUCCUACGGGAGGCAGCAGUGGGGAAUAUUGGACAAUGGGCGCAAGCCUGAUCCAGCCAUACCGCGUGGGUGAAGAAGGCCUUCGGGUUGUAAAGCCCUUUUGUUGGGAAAGAAAAGCAGCAGGUUAAUACCCCGCUGUUCUGACGGUACCCAAAGAAUAAGCACCGGCUAACUUCGUG
RNAcentral lists this ribosomal RNA (492 nucleotides) under uncultured bacterium. RNAcentral's name for it is "partial 16S ribosomal RNA". It matches the Rfam family "Bacterial small subunit ribosomal RNA", at positions 29 to 507 of the family's 1533-position model. The record is from RNAcentral.